ACAUCAGUCAAGUAUGUUUGCAGUAGCCGACAUAGCGAAUUGUUUGUAUGUGUAAACCACACCUGUUAAUGAUUGUUAGAAUGAAUGUUUAUAAGACUGAGAGAACACAGAUAAAACCAGAGGUAUUUGUAGUGACACUAGAAGCGUGUAUCUGUGUAUAUUCUCCGGACGUCCGAAGGGAAAGCAGGGUGCAGAAGAAAGACCCUUUCAGUGAGGGGGAUGAAGAAAACCAGCAAUAUGACCCUUCUCCAGAAUGAGCCACCAAGGGUGGACAGGAAGGAGAUCAGCAGAAGGAUAUUAGACCUCACCUUGGAGAUCAUCUCCCUGCUGAGCGGAGAGGAGUACACAAUAGUGAAGAAGACAUCUGGGGACUGUGUGACUCCCGUCAUCCAUCUCCA
Bufo gargarizans (Asiatic toad) is the source of this 398-nucleotide long non-coding RNA. RefSeq lists it as uncharacterized. The record is from RefSeq and is a predicted model, not a curated record. NCBI's taxonomy places the organism in Eukaryota, Metazoa, Chordata, Amphibia, Anura, Bufonidae. The transcript has 3 exons.